RNAcentral lists this unclassified non-coding RNA (1366 nucleotides) under uncultured Neocallimastigales. RNAcentral's name for it is "partial contains internal transcribed spacer 1, 5.8S ribosomal RNA, internal transcribed spacer 2, and large subunit ribosomal RNA". The stretch from base 594 to 1366 matches the Rfam family "Eukaryotic large subunit ribosomal RNA", at positions 1 to 626 of the family's 3401-position model. The record is from RNAcentral. Lineage: Eukaryota; Fungi; Neocallimastigomycota; Neocallimastigomycetes; Neocallimastigales.
AAAAUAAUCCUACCCUUUGUGAAUUUGUUUGUUUGAAUAAUUUUUUUUUUAAAAAAUUAUUGGAGUCUUUCCCUUUAGAGUUUGCUUUUGAGUUUGUAAAAGAAUUCGAAAACAUCUAAAGGGGAUGGUCAAUAAUUUUUUUGAAAAAAGACAUUUUUUAAAAUUAAACUUUUUGUAUUCAUUUGUCUAAAAAUUAUUUUUAUAAUAUAAAAACAACUUUUGACAAUGGAUCUCUUGGUUCUCGCAACGAUGAAGAACGCAGCAAAAUGCGAUAAGUAGUGUGAAUUGCAGAAUACGUGAGUCAUCGAAUCUUUGAACGCAUAUUGCACUUUUUUAGUUUACUAAAAAAGUAUGUCUGUUUGAGUAUCAGUAAAAUAUUCUCAUAAAAAUCAUUGUGUAUUUUUAUGGUUAUGAGUGUUUUACAACGAUACAAGUUGUUUCACUUUAAAUUUUUUUUUAAUAUUGAAAUUUUUCUAAUUUUAAUAAUUAAAAUUGGAUAAAAUUUUCCCGUCAAAAGGAAUAACCUAAACAAUUUUAAAUGAUUAAUUUUAGCAAAAUUUUCGAAAAAAAGGAAAAUUUUUAUUAAAAUAACUUGAUCUCAAAUCAGAUAAGAGUACCCGCUGAACUUAAGCAUAUCAAUAAGCGGAGGAAAAGAAACUAACAAGGAUUCCCUUAGUAACGGCGAGUGAAGCGGGAAGAGCUCAAAUUUGAAAUCUUCAAGGUUUUACCUUGACGAAUUGUAGUUUAAAGAAGUGUUUUCUGCUGAAGUUUUGGUAAAAGUUCUUUGGAAUAGGACAUCAUAGAGGGCGAGAAUCCCGUAUUUGACCAUUAUUUUCAGCUUUGUGAUACACUUUCAAAGAGUCGGAUUGUUUGGGAAUGCAGUCCAAAAUGGGUGGUAAAUUUCAUCUAAAGCUAAAUAUGGCGAGAGACCGAUAGCGAACAAGUACCGUGAGGGAAAGAUGAAAAGACUUUGAAAAGAGAGUUAAACAGUACGUGAAAUUGUCAAAAGGGAAGCGUUUGACACCAGUGUUGUUUUCUCGAAAAUCAAUUAAAAAUGGCUCGAUUUUGUAUUGCUGAGACCUUAAAAGCUCACUGUACAUUUUUCGUGUCUUUUUUAAUGCACUUUUCGUUUAACAAGUCAACAUCAGUUUCUUUUGUCGUAAAAGGGUCAUUGGAAGGUGGCUUUCUUUUCGGAGAAAGUGUUUAUAGCCUUUGGCCUCUGCAAUCGGAGAGACUGAGGUCUGCAGCGUAGACUCUUCGGGGUUAGAUACACUUGUGCUAAGUUAUAGCUUUUUAUAGACAACUCGUUGACUAUAAUUAGUCUUGUAGCUUACUCGCUUAUGCUAUUUUACCUACGCUUAGGAUG